AUUUUUGUUCAUCAGUGAAUGAAAACGGUUAUUAUCCUGAUAUGAAUUCAGCUUAUGAUCCUGAAUUUAUAUUAUUAAAGCAGUCAAUGAUAUUAUUUCAGAGUUAUAACUGACUUAGCAAAGUCACGUUAUUUAUUUAAGCGAGAUGGAAUUAGAAUUUAUUUUUACUCAAAUCGUGAAUUAUUUCCGACUCGUGAGUUAAUUAAAUCUGCGGAUUUAAUUUAGAUAUCAGAACAACGAACGAAUUAAAUCUACGGAUUUAAUUUAAAUUCAUUUUAUAAUUUAUCGAUUUUUAGCGAGAUAUCACAUGUCGAAAUUGGGAUUUAUUUAAAUAAACAGUACAAGCAAAUAUGAGCACGCGAUCCACUUUACAGUUAUAGAAUCACCGAGACAGAGAAAAUACAUCAAUAAUUCUCCUCUACAUUUUUUUUUCCUUUCUUUUUCUUCUCUUUUUCUUUCCAUUAAAUUUGUCCCCCAACUUUUCCCCACCACGCAAUUAUGCAACUAAAUCAAGCUAAUUCAAUAACUCUCCCACUUAACUCACAUCUCCCUCUAUUUGCACAACUCCAGCCAAGAAACAAAACAUUCCCUAUCAUUUUCACCGUGAGUCCUCUUCAAAGAGCAGGAAGUCUCCAUUUCGUCCAGCCAAAUUCUUAAGGUAAGCUUUGCUAUAAUCUUCCAUUUUCUUCCAUUAUCCGCCUGCAAUCAGCCUGCAAUCACUGAGACAACAACACAAAUUUAUUUCAGUUCCAGUUCAUUCACCACACCACAACCGAAAAGUGAGAGAAAUCACUCAUUCACUCCCUGCCAGAAUCAAUAAGUUCAGUCAUUCCAAUUCAUUCAACUCCAACAGCCAUCAAUCAGUUCGAUCAUAUUCAAGGUCAAGGGCGAGAUUGACAAUCUGUUGAGGAGCUUUUGUAUCACAGAAAAUCACUAUCAGGUUGAGCAGCUGCCGAUGUUGAUGAAGUGAUGAGCGGGAUUCUUUUGUCUUUUUAUGUAUUAAAGAACUCUAGGGUUACAUGUCUUCAUACAUGUAAUCAGAAUCAUAAUCCGCUGCGUACUCAGAAGUUUUAUGCUUAUUUGGCUAAGUCAGAAAUAUCUGAACUUAUUAGUUAUCUGAGUCUAUACGACUAAACUUCUGUUAUAUUAUAAAUAUUCCUUUUGUUAAAUGAUGAAAUGUGAUCCUUCUUUGUUUAAUUAUCCCCUUUCUACCCCGCUUCUA
Molecule: long non-coding RNA, 1222 nt
Organism: Salvia miltiorrhiza (redroot sage)
Lineage: Eukaryota; Viridiplantae; Streptophyta; Magnoliopsida; Lamiales; Lamiaceae
Exons: 3
Source: RefSeq, a predicted model, not a curated record